Molecule: non-coding RNA, 668 nt
Organism: Cricetulus griseus (Chinese hamster)
Lineage: Eukaryota; Metazoa; Chordata; Mammalia; Rodentia; Cricetidae
Source: the annotation of a RefSeq genome assembly
AUGGGGUUGGGGCUGCACUGGGUUUUCUUUGUUGCUCUUUUAAAAGGUAUCCACUGUGAGGUGCAGCUGAUUGUGUCUGGUGGAGGAUUGGUGAAGCCUGCAGGGUCACUGAAACUCUCCUGUGCGGCCUCUGGAUUCACCUUCACUGGCUAUGCCAUGAGCUGGGUCUGCCAGGCUCCAGGGAAGGGGCUGGAGUGGGUUGCUCGCAUUAGAACUAAACCUAAUAAUUAUGCAACCCAUUACUCGGAUUCAGUGAAAGGCAGAUUCACCAUCUCCAGAGAUGAUUCCCAAAGCAUGGCCUACCUGCAAAUGAACAACCUGAGAACUGAGGACACUGCCACUUAUUACUGUGCAAUCAACACAGUGAGGAGUCUGCAGUGUGAGCCCAGACAAAAACCUCACUGAUAGGUUCUCAUAGCCAGCAGGGGCGCACUCAGCACACAUAAAGCCCAGGUUCAGACAUAAUUGAUUUUUUUCUGUAUUAUCUAGGUGACCUCUCCAUCCUCUGAUUUUAUGGGGAUCCAUUUUGUAAUUAACGAUGCUAGGAAUUGAUCAUGCCUCUAAAAUUUAGGACUUCUGCUUUGACAAACAUUCUUAACACAAAUAUGCCACCUACUCCUCCCUGAAGAAAAUACUGAAAGUCUAUGAGGGAAGAGUGAUUCUCAGUU